This 860-nucleotide ribosomal RNA is filed under the name uncultured bacterium. RNAcentral describes it as "bacterial SSU rRNA". It matches the Rfam family "Bacterial small subunit ribosomal RNA", at positions 8 to 879 of the family's 1533-position model. The record is from RNAcentral.
AGAGUUUGAUCAUGGCUCAGGACGAACGCUGGCGGCGCGCCUAACACAUGCAAGUCGAACGGAGUUAAGAGGAGCUUGCUUUUCUUGACUUAGUGGCGAACGGGUGAGUAACGCGUGAGUAACCUGCCUCAGAGUGGGGGACAACAGUUGGAAACGACUGCUAAUACCGCAUAAGACCACGGGGUCGCAUGGCCCUGAGGUAAAAGGAUUUAUUCGCUUUGAGAUGGACUCGCGUCCAAUUAGCUGGUUGGUGAGGUAACGGCCCACCAAGGCGACGAUUGGUAGCCGGACUGAGAGGUUGAACGGCCACAUUGGGACUGAGACACGGCCCAGACUCCUACGGGAGGCAGCAGUGGGGGAUAUUGCACAAUGGGGGAAACCCUGAUGCAGCGACGCCGCGUGGAGGAAGAAGGUUUUCGGAUUGUAAACUCCUGUCGUAAGGGACGAUAAUGACGGUACCUUACAAGAAAGCCACGGCUAACUACGUGCCAGCAGCCGCGGUAAAACGUAGGUGGCAAGCGUUGUCCGGAAUUACUGGGUGUAAAGGGAGCGCAGGCGGACCGGCAAGUUGGAAGUGAAAGCUAUGAGCUCAACCCAUAAACUGCUUUCAAAACUGCUGGCCUUGAGUAGUGCAGAGGUAGGCGGAAUUCCCGGUGUAGCGGUGGAAUGCGUAGAUAUCGGGAGGAACACCAGUGGCGAAGGCGGCCUACUGGGCACCAACUGACGCUGAGGCUCGAAAGUGUGGGUAGCAAACAGGAUUAGAUACCCUGGUAGUCCACACCGUAAACGAUGAUUACUAGGUGUUGGAGGAUUGACCCCUUCAGUGCCGCAGUUAACACAAUAAGUAAUCCACCUGGGGA